RNAcentral lists this ribosomal RNA (301 nucleotides) under uncultured bacterium. RNAcentral describes it as "partial 16S ribosomal RNA". It matches the Rfam family "Bacterial small subunit ribosomal RNA", at positions 509 to 807 of the family's 1533-position model. The record is from RNAcentral.
CAGCCGCCGCGGUAAUACGAAGGGGGCUAGCGUUGCUCGGAAUUACUGGGCGUAAAGGGCGCGUAGGCGGACAGUUCAGUCGGGGGUGAAAGCCCGGGACUCAACCUCGGAAUUGCCUUCGAUACUGGCUGUCUUGAGUAUGAGAGAGGUGUGUGGAACUCCGAGUGUAGAGGUGAAAUUCGUAGAUAUUCGGAAGAACACCAGUGGCGAAGGCGACACACUGGCUCAUUACUGACGCUGAGGCGCGAAAGCGUGGGGAGCAAACCGGAUUAGAUACCCCAGUAGUCCCUGUCUCUUAUAC